CUCAAAGGAAUUGACGGGGCCCGCACAAGCGGAGGAGCAUGUGGUUUAAUUCGAUGAUACGCGAGGAACCUUACCUGGGCUCGAACGUAAGAUGACUGUAGGUGAAAGCUUACAUCUCUUCGGAGCAUUUUACGAGGUGCUGCAUGGUUGUCGUCAGCUCGUGCCGUGAGGUGUCGGGUUAAGUCCCAUAACGAGCGCAACCCCUACCUUUAGUUGCCAUCAGGUAAUGCUGGGGACUCUAAAGGAACUGCCUACGCAAGUAGUGAGGAAGGCGGGGAUGACGUCAAAUCAGCACGGCCCUUACGUCCAGGGCUACACACGUGCUACAAUGGCCGAUACAGAGGGCAGCUACCUGGUGACAGGAUGCAAAUCUCCAAAGUCGGUCUCAGUUCGGAUCGGAGUCUGCAACCCGACUCCGUGAAGUUGGAUUCGCUAGUAAUCGCGCAUCAGCCAUGGCGCGGUGAAUACGUUCCCGGGCCUU
RNAcentral lists this ribosomal RNA (481 nucleotides) under uncultured Sphingobacteriales bacterium. Its description in RNAcentral is "bacterial SSU rRNA". It matches the Rfam family "Bacterial small subunit ribosomal RNA", at positions 900 to 1382 of the family's 1533-position model. Lineage: Bacteria; Pseudomonadati; Bacteroidota; Sphingobacteriia; Sphingobacteriales. The record is from RNAcentral.